GCUAAUACCGUAUAACAACCAAAACCACCUGGUUUUGGUUUAAAAGAUGGCUUCGGCUAUCACUUUAGGAUGGACCCGCGGCGUAUUAGCUUGUUGGUAAGGUAACGGCCUACCAAGGCAAUGAUACGUAUCCGACCUGAGAGGGUAAUCGGCCACAUUGGGACUGAGACACGGCCCAAACUAAUACGGGAGGCAGCAGUAGGGAAUCUUCCACAAUGGACGAAAGUCUGAUGGAGCAACGCCGCGUGAGUGAUGAAGGGUUUCGGCUCGUAAAACUCUGUUGUUGGAGAAGAACAGGUGUGAGAGUAACUGUUCACAUCUUGACGGUAUCCAACCAGAAAGCCACGGCUAACUACGUGCCAGCAGCCGCGGUAAUACGUAGGUGGCAAGCGUUGUCCGGAUUUAUUGGGCGUAAAGCGAGCGCAGGCGGUUUCUUAGGUCUGAUGUGAAAGCCUUCGGCUUAACCGGAGAAGUGCAUCGGGAAACCACGAGACUUGAGUGCAGAAGAGGACAGUGGAACUCCAUGUGUAGCGGUGAAAUGCGUAGAUAUAUGGAAGAACACCAGUGGCGAACGCGGCUGUCUGGUCUGUAACUGACGCUGAGGCUCGAAAGCAUGGGUAGCGAACAGGAUUAGAUACCCUGGUAGUCCAUGCCGUAAACGAUGAGUGCUAAGUGUUGGAGGGUUUCCGCCCUUCAGUGCUGCAGCUAACGCAUUAAGCACUCCGCCUGGGGAGUACGACCGCAAGGUUGAAACUCAAAGGAAUUGACGGGGGCCCGCACAAGCGGUGGAGCAUGUGGUUUAAUUCGAUGCUACGCGAAGAACCUUACCAGGUCUUGACAUCUUCUGCCAACCUAAGAGAUUAGGCGUUCCCUUCGGGGAC
This 881-nucleotide ribosomal RNA is filed under the name Lentilactobacillus parabuchneri. Its description in RNAcentral is "bacterial SSU rRNA". It matches the Rfam family "Bacterial small subunit ribosomal RNA", at positions 162 to 1027 of the family's 1533-position model. Lineage: Bacteria; Bacillati; Bacillota; Bacilli; Lactobacillales; Lactobacillaceae. The record is from RNAcentral.